AGUACCUCUGUGUCUCUGUGUGUGCUGAACAUCUGGAAUCAGAUUGAGUCAGGCUGCAUCAGCUGAAUCUGUUAUUUGUAAAUAUCAAUAUUUUUUAUUCAGGUGUGGGGAUAAUAUGUAAGACUGCAGUGAAGCGAUGUACCAGAUGAAUCCCUGGCCAAAGAACAGUUCGCCACAGUCGCUGUCCACAUGGGUCAGUGGGACCAAGCAGCACUCUGCUAAUGUGAGACUCUGACCAGCAACAUCCAGCAAGACCCAGGCAGCGUUUUCUAUCUCCCAGCUGGAGUUUUUUGUUUGUCUGUGACUGGAGAGUCAGAUUUUUGUUGAAGCUGGAGGAACAGCCUCACACUUGCAGAGGUUAAUACACGCUACUGAUCCCUGAUGGGAGAAUCAUCACCUCUGCCAACAAAGAAGCCUGGUGGAUGUUUGUUUACAGUCUGAUGAUGGGAC
Molecule: long non-coding RNA, 450 nt
Organism: Pelmatolapia mariae (spotted tilapia)
Lineage: Eukaryota; Metazoa; Chordata; Actinopteri; Cichliformes; Cichlidae
Exons: 3
Source: RefSeq, a predicted model, not a curated record